UCUCCUGGAAAACGGGUGGUAAUGCCGGAUGCUCCAGUUGACCGCAUGGUCCUUUGGGAAAGCUUUUGCGGUAUGGGAUGGGGUCGCGUCCUAUCAGCUUGAUGGCGGGGUAACGGCCCACCAUGGCUUCGACGGGUAGCCGGCCUGAGAGGGCGACCGGCCACAUUGGGACUGAGAUACGGCCCAGACUCCUACGGGAGGCAGCAGUGGGGAAUAUUGCACAAUGGGCGCAAGCCUGAUGCAGCGACGCCGCGUGCGGGAUGACGGCCUUCGGGUUGUAAACCGCUUUUGACUGGGAGCAAGCCCUUCGGGGUGAGUGUACCUUUCGAAUAAGCACCGGCUAACUACGUGCCAGCAGCCGCGGUAAUACGUAGGGUGCAAGCGUUAUCCGGAAUUAUUGGGCGUAAAGGGCUCGUAGGCGGUUCGUCGCGUCCGGUGUGAAAGUCCAUCGCUUAACGGUGGAUCCGCGCCGGGUACGGGCGGGCUUGAGUGCGGUAGGGGAGACUGGAAUUCCCGGUGUAACGGUGGAAUGUGUAGAUAUCGAAAAAAAAAAACCAC
Molecule: ribosomal RNA, 558 nt
Filed under: Bifidobacterium adolescentis
Lineage: Bacteria; Bacillati; Actinomycetota; Actinomycetes; Bifidobacteriales; Bifidobacteriaceae
Description: partial 16S ribosomal RNA
Rfam family: Bacterial small subunit ribosomal RNA
Source: RNAcentral